UCGUAACAAGGUUUCCGUAGGUGAACCUGCGGAAGGAUCAUUACCGAGUGAGGGCCCUCUGGGUCCAACCUCCCACCCGUGUUUAUUUUACCUUGUUGCUUCGGCGGGCCCGCCUUAACUGGCCGCCGGGGGGCUCACGCCCCCGGGCCCGCGCCCGCCGAAGACACCCUCGAACUCUGUCUGAAGAUUGUAGUCUGAGUGAAAAUAUAAAUUAUUUAAAACUUUCAACAACGGAUCUCUUGGUUCCGGCAUCGAUGAAGAACGCAGCGAAAUGCGAUACGUAAUGUGAAUUGCAAAUUCAGUGAAUCAUCGAGUCUUUGAACGCACAUUGCGCCCCCUGGUAUUCCGGGGGGCAUGCCUGUCCGAGCGUCAUUACUGCCCUCAAGCCCGGCUUGUGUGUUGGGCCCCGUCCUCCGAUCCCGGGGGACGGGCCCGAAAGGCAGCGGCGGCACCGCGUCCGGUCCUCGAGCGUAUGGGGCUCUGUCACCCGCUCUGUAGGCCCGGCCGGCGCUUGCCGAUCAACCCCAAUUUUUAUAGGUUGACCUCGGAUCAGGUAGGGAUACCCGCUGAACCUA
Molecule: unclassified non-coding RNA, 575 nt
Filed under: Penicillium kewense
Lineage: Eukaryota; Fungi; Ascomycota; Eurotiomycetes; Eurotiales; Aspergillaceae
Description: sequence contains 18S rRNA gene, ITS1, 5.8S rRNA gene, ITS2, 28S rRNA gene
Rfam family: 5.8S ribosomal RNA (bases 220-372)
Source: RNAcentral